ACUCCCAGCUAUAGCAAGCGGCAGUUAUGGAGCAUGCGCAGCAGCAGGGGCGGCCGCAGUCAAGGGAUUUGUACAGCCCUGUAGGAGACACCUCCAGAGAAAGUAACAGCUCUCAAUUGAUUAGCUGAGAAGCCUCAGGGGCUGGAUCCUGACAUGAACCAGACACCUCCAGAAUUCUAUCCCAAGCAAAAGAUUAUUUCAAGGCCAGAACUCACUCCCUGCUGGAGACUGACUACAAGAUCCACUGAGAUUGAUGUGUAACCUGAUUGGGCCCACAGUGAUGCUAGCCCCUUCACCAGAUGGAACAAUAAUUCCAGACAAGCCAUCAGAGCAGGUCACACCACUUGACACCUUCUCGCCCCCUUGCCUCUCCUGCAUUCCAAACCCCUCUCUUUAAAAUCCCCAUGUUCCCUCCGUAAACUGGGCAGUGCCAAUUGUUGGAAAGAAUUCUGGCACUCUUUUCCUUCUUAGCAUGGAUAAAAAGAUUCACCCUCUUUUUAUCACACCUCACUCUUGUUAUUUUGGCUUCUUUCUACAAGUGGUGAGCAACCGGGCCCCCUUUGCUGGUUAUAGUAUGAACUAUUUUAUUUUUUUUAAUCUACAAUAAAAUAAAAUACAUUCAUUAGAUUUCAAAGUGGUGUUUAAUGGUUUAAGAAAAACUAGUUUUACAUUUGCAACUUGAAUAUAUUAGAUAUUAUUAAAAGCACCACAAUUGUUAAGUACUGCAGUACCUUUUCAUCUUUGAAAGCCCUUUAGAACAUUUGAAAACUCCACUGGCAUAGUUGAUACCUUUCUGGCUGUCUUUUCCCAC
Molecule: long non-coding RNA, 811 nt
Filed under: Homo sapiens (human)
Lineage: Eukaryota; Metazoa; Chordata; Mammalia; Primates; Hominidae
Description: HSALNT0308259
Source: RNAcentral